Quercus lobata is the source of this 1126-nucleotide long non-coding RNA. RefSeq lists it as uncharacterized. Lineage: Eukaryota; Viridiplantae; Streptophyta; Magnoliopsida; Fagales; Fagaceae. The record is from RefSeq and is a predicted model, not a curated record. The transcript is spliced from 2 exons.
UUAGAGCGACAUCAUCACAAAGAAAAAGUGGUAAUCCUUCUAACUGAAUUUUUAUACUCAAGAGUUAGUGUCACAAAGUGUUCCCUCUGCUUAAUAUGUAAGUACAUUUUUCAGGAGUUGGUCAGUGGUAAAUGUCUAACAAAUCUUUGGCUGUGAAACAGUAACUUCAUAACAAAUGACACUCUGAUUGUAAUCUGGUGCAUCUGAAACGUUAAUACUUCACACUAUCUUAUAACAUCUUUCUUUCCUUUCUUUUCUUUUCUUUUUUAUGAAAUUUCAUUAUAAUGCUUUAAUAUAUUAAUUUGGAUUUGGAUGCAUCCUUGAGCUAGAGCUUACUUUUAUAAAGAUAAAAGAGCCAGAGAGGAUAUAUAUAUAUAAUGACAGGCUAUGAGGGUGCUACCAUAAGGAACAAGGUAGACUAGUGUUUCUUCUUCUAAAUAAAGAAGCAAAGAAAUUGCUGCAUGUGGGAUACACUAUAGCUCGCAAGAGAAUGCAAAGAAGAAGGGUAUUUGAUCAGGAAUUUAAAUAUGGACCAAAAUACACUAUUAGUCCCUAAACUCUGGUCUGUGAGCAAUUUAGUCCAUGAAGUUAGAGUGAUUGCUUUUGAUCUUCUGUCAACAUCCAUUAAAUCUUUCUCAUGGAACGAUGAUGUGGUCAAACUAAAAACUAACCCGUUAUCGCUAUAUUAGAUACUUAAGAGACAAAAAGCGAUCACGUUAAGCAUCAAGAAAUAAUAGCGAUCACUUUAAUUUUUACUGAACUAAAAGCAAUCAUUCUAAACUUCAAGGAUAAAAAUUGCUAAGGCAUUAAAGUUUAGGGACCAGUUUAUUUUUCCCCUAAAUCUAACAUAAUCAGCUUGUAUUUAUGGAAUAAUAAAUUGUAUUAUGCAAUAGUGCUACAUCUGAUAUAAAAUGAUACUGUACUAUUUACGGGCAACCUUUUAUAUUUUCUUGUCAACAUUAAGGGUGUAUUUAGAUACCGCUUAUUUUGCUGAAAAUUGAAAACAAUAAAAAAAGAAUUUCCAAUUACUGUUCACACUCACAAAACACUGUUCAUUUGCCUUAAUGCACUGCUCAUUUCCCAUGAACAGUGCAAGAGGUGCUGGUCAAAAAAAAAAAAAAAAAAA